Molecule: ribosomal RNA, 549 nt
Filed under: uncultured Rhizophagus
Lineage: Eukaryota; Fungi; Glomeromycota; Glomeromycetes; Glomerales; Glomeraceae
Description: SSU rRNA
Rfam family: Eukaryotic small subunit ribosomal RNA
Source: RNAcentral
UUGGAGGGCAAGUCUGGUGCCAGCAGCCGCGGUAAUUCCAGCUCCAAUAGCGUAUAUUAAAGUUGUUGCAGUUAAAAAGCUCGUAGUUGAAUUUCGGGGUUAGUAGGUUGGUCAUGCCUCUGGUAUGUACUGGUCUCACUGAUUCCUCCUUCCUGAUGAGCCGUAAUGCCAUUAAUUUGGUGUUGCGGGGAAUUUGGACUGUUACUUUGAAAAAAUUAGGGUGUUUAAAGCAAGCUAACGCUUGAAUACAUUAGCAUGGAAUAAUGAAAUAGGACGUUUGAUCCUAUUUUGUUGGUUUCUAGGAUUGACGUAAUGAUUAAUAGGGAUAGUUGGGGGCAUUAGUAUUCAAUUGUCAGAGGUGAAAUUCUUGGAUUUAUUGAAGACUAACUACUGCGAAAGCAUUUGCCAAGGAUGUUUUCAUUAAUCAAGAACGAAAGUUAGGGGAUCGAAGACGAUCAGAUACCGUCGUAGUCUUAACCAUAAACUAUGCCGACUAGGGAUCGGAUGAUGUUAAUUUUUUAAUGACUCAUUCGGCGCCUUACGGGAAAC